RNAcentral lists this long non-coding RNA (405 nucleotides) under Manacus vitellinus (golden-collared manakin). RNAcentral describes it as "lncRNA (ENSMVIG00005017088.1)". The record is from RNAcentral. Lineage: Eukaryota; Metazoa; Chordata; Aves; Passeriformes; Pipridae.
UGAAGAGCAAAAUUCAGAAAACUUGGUGAAACCACUCUGUUGUCCAAACUUCAUAAUGACCUUACUGACAAGUUGGAUAUCAGUCCUAACAGCAUUUCUUCUUCUUUUACUGCAAGACCCACCCAGUCUGCAGUCUCAUCUCCAGACUCUCUGCCGACAACGCGCUCAUGAGGAUGUCCCCCCAUCAGCUGGAAAUGCAGCCCGCACCUCUUACCAGCGUCCUGGUGCUGCCAGAGCCCCGCGGGGCACAUCUCUGCUCCAGUGCCAGUUCCACGCUGUGUCUGAGCCAGGCACUCAGGAGAGGGGAAAGAGCGUCAACCAUCAGUUGCUUCGAGAGUCUUUGAGAAAUGAUCCACAAGUCACUCAAGUACAGAUAUCAAAUUCGUCUGCAAGGCUCUUCCACCC